This 483-nucleotide ribosomal RNA is filed under the name uncultured Sulfurihydrogenibium sp. RNAcentral's name for it is "bacterial SSU rRNA". It matches the Rfam family "Bacterial small subunit ribosomal RNA", at positions 29 to 530 of the family's 1533-position model. The record is from RNAcentral. Lineage: Bacteria; Pseudomonadati; Aquificota; Aquificia; Aquificales; Hydrogenothermaceae.
CGCGAACGUUGGCGGCGUGCCUAACACAUGCAAGUCGUGGGGCAGCAGGCUACUGUCUUUUGGCAGUAGUGCUGGCGACCGGCAAACGGGUGAGUAACACGUAGCUUACCUACCCAUAGGUUGGGGAUAACAUCCCGAAAGGGGUGCUAAUACCCAAUAAUGAGGAGACUCCAAAGCCCUUAUGGGCGCCUAUGGAUGGGGCUGCGUCCCAUCAGCUAGUUGGUGAGGUAAUGGCUCACCAAGGCUACGACGGGUAACCGGUCUGAGAGGAUGACCGGUCACAGUGGGACUGAGACACGGCCCGCACCCCUACGGGGGGCAGCAGUGGGGAAUAUUGGGCAAUGGCCGAAAGGCUGACCCAGCAACGCCGCGUGGUGGAUGAAGCCCUUCGGGGAGUAAACACCUUUUCUGGGGGAAGAUAAUGACGGUACCCCAGGAAUAAGGGACGGCUAACUACGUGCCAGCAGCCGCGGUAAUACGUAG